UAUACGUAUGUUAUGAACACAUUUUCAGUUUUUUUAACAGAAUAUUAAAAGGGGUAUUACAAGAAGGACAAAUUGAAAUGAUAUUUCAAUACAAAAUCACUUAUUAUAGAAUAUUAAGUAGUAAAUUCAAACUGGAGGAACUCCAAAUUGCAAGCACAUACAUGCAUGAAUAUUCAGAAUAGAUUUUCGGUAUGAUUUUGGAUAUGACAAUGUAAAAAAAGUUGAUUGGUUUUCACGUCAAAAUAAAUUUACACAAAAAAUGGCCAAUCAAAAUAAGGGGGUGUCGCAUAUAAGUGAAUCGUUUAUAUAGAAUUGCAAAUUAAAGAAAAACUCUGUGUUACCAGACUUACCAGAAACAUUUGAUAUCUAUAGCUAACACACAUUAUAUUUCAACAUGAGCGAUGUUAAUGUCACAGAAGUUUUAUUUGUGAUUUUUUUUCCAAUCACUGUCCCGAGCUACUUAAUUUAUUGGCUCGGAAAAAAACUUUUCGGAGGCGACAAUCCUGCUCCAAGUGAUUUUCCGCAGGACCGAAGACUAUAAAACAGUCUCUUAGUUAACAGUUUUAGGAUUGAAAGAAGCGUCAUAAUUAUCUUAUUGUUCCUUGAUUAAAAUAUCACUAUGCAGUAUAUAAAUAAUUUCUGUUCAAAUCCAGAGAUAUACCAACAUGGAAAUAUUCAAAGGUGUAAAAAGACCAACUGUGGCUUCUGGAUUAAUUUUGCUUAGAUGAAACUUUACACCAAUUACAACUCUACAUAAUGUGAAGACAAGAAAACCGCUAUGCAUUGAAUCUACAGGGACAAAGUUGUGCAAUUUGCCUAGGAAACAUCUGACCUGUUUUCGAAAAUUCAAUUAAAAUGUAUUUAUCAAAUUAACAUUUUAAACAUAUUUGUUCAUUUAGCACGUUUCAAAAUCUAAUAAAAAAUGUGUUUUUCUA
Molecule: long non-coding RNA, 935 nt
Organism: Ruditapes philippinarum (Manila clam)
Lineage: Eukaryota; Metazoa; Mollusca; Bivalvia; Venerida; Veneridae
Exons: 2
Source: RefSeq, a predicted model, not a curated record